AUGCUGUCCGUGCGGAGGCGGCAGGAGGAUGCUGGCGGCGCCGCCGGCAUGGCGGACCACGCCGAGCUGGAGGAGGGGGAGGCCUACGCCGACGACAUGCCCCCCUUCGACGACCCGGACGUCUCCCUCGCUUACAUUGAUGAAAAACUACAAAAUGUACUAGGUCAUUUUCAAAAGGACUUUGAAGGAGGCGUUUCUGCAGAGAAUCUAGGAUCAAAAUUUGGUGGAUAUGGCUCAUUUUUGCCAACCUACCAGCGUUCCCCCCUUCUGCCCCACACUAGAACUCCACCUAAGGUGGCAAAUGCUAGCUCAAGAUCUCCUUAUCACCAGUCUACUGAGGAUGUGUCUCAGAACCCUCCGGCUAUGGCCGUUCCAUCUGUUUCCCAGAAUAAUGGUUCUGUGGCUCCUUUUUCUGGUGAUUCAAUUAAAAAGGAAAGAUGCGAAAGCACAGCGUCUAAAAGGGGCUCUAGCACCCAUGAUCCUUCAAAUGGCCCAUCUAAGUCUAGCGACCAGAAUAGAUUUAAAGUACGGAUAAAAGUUGGUUCCGACAAUGUCUUGGCAAGAAAUAAUGCAGCUAUUUACAGUGGUUUGGGCCUUGACAUUUCUUCACCUUCAUCUGUGGAGGAAAGCCCUGAUGGCCACGGGGGCCUCUCCCCGGAAUUUAGCAAUGUGCAACUUGAAUCUCCCCGGACCAUUCUUCAGAUCAUGACAUGCUUUUCAGUUCCUGGAGGGUACUUGUUAUCCCCUCUUCAUGGCAGUUUGUUGCAACUGACAAAGAAGGUUGUGCCUUCAUUGAAGAAAUGGGAAACAAGCUUGGAGAUAGAAAAUGCACAGGAAGCAUAUGAAGGGCAUGUGGUUAAGAAAAUGAAGUCUGAUGGUAAGAAAAAGAAACCCACAGAUAUGAAGAGGUCAAAUAACAGAAACGAUGUCAGUGCAUUUAUGAAAAAUGAGAUCGAUGUAGAAACACUUGCUGGCCAGAAGAUUGCAUCAGAAGCUCUCAGCAUACCGUCUAGUCCCAGAGGCAUGGAUGCAAACAGCAAUUGUCAAUUUGAAGAAGAAGCAACAGGAAAAUCUUUGGAAAGAAACAAAGAUGAUCGAUUGAAAGAAUGGGCUGCAAACAGCAACAGCAAGACAAUCAAAGCUGAAACUGUCAAAGAGGAUACUACCGACUGUUUAGCAAGUGGUGGUUUUGGCAGCUCAGAAUUGGAACUUUCAGCAGCAAAGAAGGAGCUGAAACCUGUGACAGAAAAGACAGCAUUGACUUCAGAAGAGAUGAAUACAACCAGUGACACAGAUUUUCUGUUGGAUAGGAAACAUGAAAGAAAAAUAAAGCCUGAGAGUAAAAGCAAUCCUUCUGUCGUUAACUUUGAAGAAAACGCAGUUAUAGAUGAAAAAGCUCCUGCUGUUUGCAGAAGCAUGGAGAAGGUUACUAGCAAAGAGGCUUCACUUUAUGAUACAAAUGUGAAAAAUAACACCAAGAGUGAGGCCAAAAGAAUACACAGGGAACAAAAGAAGAAUGCUCCAACAUCUUCUGAUCUUCUGGAUGUUGACAAGGGUGCUCGUUCUUCUGCUGGAGUUAAAGAGAGGAAAAACGAUUCUCACUCCAAAUCUAGCCACUCAGGGAAGAAACCCAAAGCACAACCACAUAGAGAUGUCAGGGACAGUUUGGCAGAUGGAUCCCAUGGAUCCAAAGAGCAGGAUAUAUUGGAGAAUGGAGUUGAAUUGGGAGAGUUGCAGCCAAAGGAAAAAUAUUGGAUCAAAAGGGAUUCUGACAUGCUUGGGGCAUCAAAGAGGGAGAUUUCAUCUAGUGCAAAGCAUGACAGACAUACAGCUUCUGAGGAGCAGAAGAUGCAUGUACCUCCAUCUUCUGUAUCAACUGCAAAUGCAGCUCCUGCACUUCAAGCACCUGUCGUGAUAGAGGAACAUUGGGUACAAUGUGACAUAUGUCAGAAAUGGCGUCUCCUACCAUAUGAGUCGGAUCCUGAUACUCUUCCAAAGGAAUGGAAAUGUAGCAUGCAACUGUGGCUACCUGGGAUGAAUAGGUGCGAUGUUGGUGAGGAGGAGACUACAAAUGCUCUGAAUGCACUAUAUGUCAUUCCACCCCCUGCCAAUGGUAUUCCUUCAGUUGGUCAUCCUCAUGCUGCUUCUUCUGGACCGGCAACAGCCAACACGUUCAGUAUAAAUGGACAUGCUGAACAGAGUAGGAAAAGGAAGAGUUUUCCAGGUGAUGGAAGUGCUUUGGUUGACAGUUCUCACCCAACACAAGCUUCAGCUUAUUCAACGAUCACCCAACCCCCUCCUAGAGUUAGAAGUACUGCUGAUACUAACCACUAUCCUUCUGAGAGAGAUUCUGUGAGCAAAUCAGUUGACGUUUCCACUGAAAAGAAGAAGUCCAAGAGCAAGAAUCGUGGCAGCUAUUCUGAUGGAGGAGAUCUUGUGGAAAGAUCCAAGAAGCAUUCAAAAGGAAAAGGCAAGAGAGAGAUGGAUUAUGGUGAAUACAAAGCUUCUAAGAAAAUUAAAAAGGAGGAGCGGCAUCGUUCUAGCAGAGACCGGAACCCUGAAUGUGAUUUAGCUAGUGGAGACGUUUCUGAUGAGGCCAAGGCUUUUCUUGCAAAGGCAAAGAGUUUGGGUGAGAAGGGUGAUAUUUCUUCAUUGAAGCAAAAAAGUGUUGCGAGGUCUGAUCGUUUGGAGAAGUCCAAGAGAGACAAGGAUGAUGAUAUAGCUCUUCCUGAAGAUAGGAACAAGGAACAAUACCAAACCUCAGAUGUACAGAGAUCAGACGUUUCUAGCAAGAAGAGGAUAGUGAAGGAAUGGGAGGAGAGUCAGCAUAGUUCAAUAGCUCAGGUGAGCAGAGGAACCACAGUGAAUCACAGCUCUGCUGCCAAGGAAACCCAUAAGGAUCAAAACUUAAAGGAAACAAAGUCCAAGCCGAUAAAGUCUGAAGAACUGUAUUCCAUGACGGAUUCUAAAUUAGGAAAAGGUCUGCACUCUAAUCAGAUUUCUUAUUAUGGUGGUCAUGUAAACAAUGAACUUGUGGAGGAUAGCACACACUUUGCUGGUAAAAGAGGUCCAUCCGAAGUAUUAGAUAAGCGAUCUUCUGAACAUGCUUUGGACUUAGCUGGAGCCGCUUCUAGUGAUGUUCCGACCACAGCAAUAGCUUCAAGUUCUUCAAAAGCUUCAGGCUCUCAGAAAAAGAAAAAUAACUCCCAAGUUGCAAAGACUUCACCGAUUGAAUCAGUUUCCUCAUCACCACCGAGGAACUCUAACAUUGAUAAGUUCUCCCAGAACAGAAUAGUGGAGAAAGAUGGGCCUAUGAAUGCUAACCCAGGCACCAUGCCGAGCUCAGUAAAGUAUCUAAAUACUGAAGUUGAUAUAGUAGACAAUGUUCGGCAGGCUAAGAAGUCCAAGGAGAGUUUGCUUGCAAGUGAACCUGUCUUACAUGGCUCUUCACAAGGAAAUUCUGACAAAGAUGAUGAAUUAGUUCAGUUAACUCAAGGCCAUGCAUCCGAAAGGUUUUCAUUGAGAAAGGGUUUGGAUGAUGAUCAGCAGCAUGCAUCUGGGAGAAAGGACUCCACUGUGAAUGGCUCCAGCACAGCGAGGGGUUAUAACCACCUGCAUUCUGGUGAUAAAAAUAACUUGCGCACUGAUGGCUCUUUAGUGCAACCUAGGACUGCAGCUUCGGGCUCGAAAGGAGAUUUGAUUGCAAGUGAAAGUAAGAAAACUGCAGCUCCUAUUCAAGAUAGAAAUGGAUUAACUCAUUGUGCUCUGGAUGGAAAUCCUAAACCAGAGGUGCCAUCUGGAAAAGAUAAAUCUUAUCCCAAGAGUAACAAGCAAGAUAUGGAGAAGCCCAAAGCCCAAAUCGCUCCUUCACCUCUGAAAGAAACCCACUCCACUCCAGUAAAAUCUAAUGCGUCAAAAUUGACACCACAGUCAAGGCGAAGCAGUGAUGAAAAUGGAGGGCAACAGCGUGUUGCCAAACAGGGAACUUCAAAUCCUACGGAUGGGAAAGAUGGUAAUUCAACUGCAUAUGCUCUCAAAGAAGCUCGAGAUUUAAAGCACAAGGCUAACCGUUUGAAGAAAGAAGGAAAAGAACUUGAAAGCACAAGGCUCUAUUUUGAGGCAGCCUUAAAAUUUCUGCAUGUAGCAUCACUUCUGGAACCUCCUGGUAUUGAUGGUCUGAAACAAGGCGAUGCAGCUCAGAGCAUGUAUUCUGAUACUGCAAAACUCUGCAACUUUGUUGGUCAUGAAUAUGAAAGGUGCAAGAAGAUGGCCGCUGCUGCUUUAGCAUAUAAAUGUGUUGAAGUAGCUUAUCUCAAGGCUGCAUACUACAAAUACCCUAUUGCAAGUAAGGACCGGCAGGUGUUGCAGGCAGUUGUACAGACUACACCAGGCGAAUCACCAUCAUCUUCAGCAUCAGACAUUGAUAACUUAAAUAACAAUGGAUUAUCUAAGAUGGCCCCUUCAAACAAGGAUGCUAAUUCACCCCAAGUUGCUGGGAACCAUUUAUUACUGGCCGUUCGCAAUCAACCACACCUGACAAGGUUACUAGCUUAUACAAAUGAUGUCAAUUCUGCCUUUGAGGCAACUCGGAAAUCACAGAUGGCAAUUGCUUCUGCUGCUGGCAACCAUGAAAAGGGAGUGGAUGGUCUUUCUUCAGUAAAAACAGUUCUGGAUUUUAACUUCAGAAGCGUGAAUGAUCUACUCAGACUUGUGCGGAUUUCAAUGGAGUCUAUCAGCUGCUGA
Molecule: ribosomal RNA, 4743 nt
Filed under: Triticum aestivum (bread wheat)
Lineage: Eukaryota; Viridiplantae; Streptophyta; Magnoliopsida; Poales; Poaceae
Description: partial small subunit ribosomal RNA
Source: RNAcentral